UUAAGUUCAGCGGGUAUCCCUACCUGAUCCGAGGUCAACCUUUGAUGAAUGGGGAUUUCUCCAAUGGCAAGCAGUGGACCCACGAUGCGAGCGAAUAGUGCCGGUAAAGCUUUUACAACGCCACAAACACGUGGGGACAAACCGCCUCUGAAUUUCGGUGGUGAGGUGAUUCAACGUUAUGCACGGAUCCCCUCAUUCAC
This 200-nucleotide unclassified non-coding RNA is filed under the name Humaria sp. RNAcentral's name for it is "partial internal transcribed spacer 2". The record is from RNAcentral. Lineage: Eukaryota; Fungi; Ascomycota; Pezizomycetes; Pezizales; Pyronemataceae.